UAUAAUAAUGUAGGUAAGGGAUAUCGGCAAAUUAGAUCUUUAGAAAGGAUUGGCUCUAAGAACUGAGUCGGAUCGGACGUGCUGUUACGUGAAGUAUGCUAUGGUUGAAUCGAAGCAGUGCAAAACUAUUUAUAAACAGAGGGUUCCCGUGGACGUUGACUGUCUCUGAUUUCUGCCCAGCGCUCUGAAUGUAAAAGUGAAGAAAUUCAACGAAGCGCGGGUAAACGACGGGAGUAACUAUGACUCUCUUAAGGUAGCAAAAUGCCUCGUCAUCUAACUAAUGACGCGCAUGAAUGGAUUAACGAGAUUCGCACUGUCCCUAUCUACUAUCUGGCGAAACCACAGCCAAGGGAACGGGCUUGG
RNAcentral lists this non-coding RNA (363 nucleotides) under Dracunculus medinensis (Guinea worm). RNAcentral describes it as "Eukaryotic large subunit ribosomal RNA". It matches the Rfam family "Eukaryotic large subunit ribosomal RNA", at positions 1891 to 2388 of the family's 3401-position model. Lineage: Eukaryota; Metazoa; Nematoda; Chromadorea; Rhabditida; Dracunculidae. The record is from Rfam by way of RNAcentral.